Molecule: long non-coding RNA, 810 nt
Organism: Cucumis sativus (cucumber)
Lineage: Eukaryota; Viridiplantae; Streptophyta; Magnoliopsida; Cucurbitales; Cucurbitaceae
Exons: 3
Source: RefSeq, a predicted model, not a curated record
CCGUGCCCGUCCUAAUCGCCUCUGUCUCCGUCGAAGCCAAGCCCAGCCGCCGCCCAUUCCUUUCCUCUCCGUUCGUGAAGCCCGGUCGCCGCGUCAGAUCGUCGAUCGAUUUUGAGGCAGCGCGCACGUCUCCUUCCAGCCGCGCGUUUCCUCUUCUUCCAGCAGCGUGUUCUUCUUCCAGCCGCAAUUCACAACCGACGUACACUCUAAUCUGUUUGUACGAUCUUUGUUGUUAGGUUCGAUCGUCGCUGCCGCCGUUUUUGUUGUGUUGGAAGUGACAUUGGGUCCCUCGUGUUCAUAACCGAAAUUGUGAAUUUUGGAGUUUGGCUCGCCAAUACUUCGUAUCUUUCGUGGGAUAUAGUUUGUUUAAGAAAUUGAGCAACCUUGAGGCAAAGGUAAUAAAGACGGCAAACCGGCGAGGGGCAGGAAGGAAGCGUGAUUGCCAUAGGGGUUAUUUUAAAUUGCUUAUGCUAAAUGUUUUGUUUCACGUGUUUUGUUUUAGUACUUGAGAUUGUUUAGAAAAUUUUAUAGUUGAACUGUAUUCACGAAUUAGUAAAUUUUUCUUGAAAGUGUUGGUUAUUUUAAACAGGGCCCAGAUAUAAAUUUUUGUUUUCUUGAGACUUUGAAAUUGUUUGAGAUUGAGAUUUUGAGUAAACUCAGGUCUUUAUUUGAAAUUAAUGACUUCGACUUACCUAGAAAAGUUGGGUCGUUACAUGUAUAUUAUGCCAGACUGGUAUAGAAGUAGAUACGAUGGAUAAUGUAUUUGUAAACUGAGAAAGGUGUUAUGUAUAUAUAUAUAUCUUGACUGUC